RNAcentral lists this ribosomal RNA (593 nucleotides) under uncultured organism. Its description in RNAcentral is "bacterial SSU rRNA". It matches the Rfam family "Bacterial small subunit ribosomal RNA", at positions 1 to 579 of the family's 1533-position model. The record is from RNAcentral.
AUUGGAUCCAGACUUUGAUCAUGGCUCAGGAUGAACGCUAGCUACAGGCUUAACACAUGCAAGUCGAGGGGAAACGAUAUUGGAAGCUUGCUUCCGAUAGGCGUCGACCGGCGCACGGGUGAGUAACGCGUAUCCAACCUGCCCAUCACUUGGGGAUAACCUUGCGAAAGUAAGACUAAUACCCAAUGAUAUCUCUAGAAGACAUCUGAAAGGGAUUAAAGAUUUAUCGGUGAUGGAUGGGGAUGCGUCUGAUUAGUUUGUUGGCGGGGUAACGGCCCACCAAGGCGACGAUCAGUAGGGGUUCUGAGAGGAAGGUCCCCCACAUUGGAACUGAGACACGGUCCAAACUCCUACGGGAGGCAGCAGUGAGGAAUAUUGGUCAAUGGGCGAGAGCCUGAACCAGCCAAGUAGCGUGCAGGAUGACGGCCCUAUGGGUUGUAAACUGCUUUUAUAAGGGAAUAAAGUGAGUCUCGUGAGACUUUUUGCAUGUACCUUAUGAAUAAGGACCGGCUAAUUCCGUGCCAGCAGCCGCGGUAAUACGGAAGGUCCGGGCGUUAUCCGGAUUUAUUGGGUUUAAAGGGAGCGUAGGCCGG